UGGGGAAUUUUGGACAAUGGGGGAAACCCUGAUCCAGCAAUCCCGCGUGCGCGAUGAAGGCCUUCGGGUUGUAAAGCACUUUUGGCAGGAAAGAAACGUCAUGGGUUAAUACCCCGUGAAACUGACGGUACCUGCAGAAUAAGCACCGGCUAACUACGUGCCAGCAGCCGCGGUAAUACGUAGGGUGCAAGCGUUAAUCGGAAUUACUGGGCGUAAAGCGUGCGCAGGCGGUUCGGAAAGAAAGAUGUGAAAUCCCAGAGCUCAACUUUGGAACUGCAUUUUUAACUACCGGGCUAGAGUGUGUCAGAGGGAGGUGGAAUUCCGCGUGUAGCAGUGAAAUGCGUAGAUAUGCGGAGGAACACCGAUGGCGAAGGCAGCCUCCUGGGAUAACACUGACGCUCAUGCACGAAAGCGUGGGGAGCAAACAGG
RNAcentral lists this ribosomal RNA (429 nucleotides) under Acidobacteriota bacterium. Its description in RNAcentral is "Acidobacteria bacterium partial 16S ribosomal RNA". It matches the Rfam family "Bacterial small subunit ribosomal RNA", at positions 355 to 776 of the family's 1533-position model. The record is from RNAcentral. Lineage: Bacteria; Pseudomonadati; Acidobacteriota.